UUCUUUAAAAUUAAAUAAUUUGGCGGUGUUUUAAUCUAUUUAGAGGAAUCUGUUUUUUAAUUGAUAUUCCACAUUUUUAUAAAUUUAUAAUUUAAAUUUAUAUAUCGUUGUUUAGAAUAUUUUUUUAUUUAAUAUUAUCAGAUCAAGGUGUAGUUAAUUUUUAAGUUAAAAUGGAUUACAAUAAAAAUUUUAUAUAAAUUGGAUUUAAUAGUAAGUUUUAAAAUAUGUACAUAUUGCCCGUCACUUUCACUUUAAAGUGAAAUAAGUCGUAACAGAGUAGUUUUAUCGGAAGAUGUAGCUAGAAUCAAGUUAUAGCUAAAUAAGUGUUUUAUUUACAUUAAAAUGAUAUUUGUUAAAUUCAAUUUAAUUUGAAUUUAUUAAUUUAUAAAAUUAUUUAUAAUUUUAAUAAAAAUUUUCAUUUUUAGUAAUUUAAAGAAAAAAUUUUAUAAUAGUAAAAAGUAUUGUGAAAGAAUUUUUUAAAAUUUGAUAAAGAAAAUUUGAUUUAUUGUACCUUGGGUAUCAGGGUUUAUUAAUUUUUUAUUCUCGAAAUUUAAAGAGUUAUUUUUAUUGUAAAAUAAAUAUUUAUUAUAUAAGAUUAGUAAUGAAAUGUUAUUCGUUUUUUUAUUUAUCUAGUUUUUUAAUAAAUAAAUUUAAUUUAAUUUUCAAUUAUUAUAUUAUUAAGGGAUAAGCUUUAAAAUAAAUAUUUAUAAUUUAGAUUUAGUUUUUAAUUUAUAGGAUUAGAAUUUUUUAUUUAUAAAAAAAUGUUAUAAUUUAAAAUUUAAUUUUUAUAUUAAAAUAAAAUUUUUAAUAAAUAAGAAUUUGAAAUAAUGAUAAAAUUAGUAAAAUUAAUUUAAUGAAUUAGGCAAAUAAAUUUUUACCUGUUUAUUAAAAACAUGUCUUUUUGAAAAUAAUUUAAAGUCAGGUCUGCUCAAUGAUUAAAUAGCUGCAGUAUUUUGACUGUACAAAGGUAGCAUAAUAAUUUGUUCCUUAAUUAGGAGCUGGAAUGAAGGAUUUAAUAAGAAAUUAACUGUUUUUAAAAUUUUAUUUUUAAGUUAAAAAGCUUAAAUUUAAUAAUAAGACGAGAAGACCCUAUAGAGUUUACUUCUUAGGGUGAUAAAAAAA
This 1122-nucleotide ribosomal RNA is filed under the name Aderidae gen. sp. 1 NLG-2012. RNAcentral describes it as "partial 16S ribosomal RNA". Lineage: Eukaryota; Metazoa; Arthropoda; Insecta; Coleoptera; Aderidae. The record is from RNAcentral.